Hyla sarda is the source of this 720-nucleotide long non-coding RNA. RefSeq lists it as uncharacterized. The transcript has 4 exons. Lineage: Eukaryota; Metazoa; Chordata; Amphibia; Anura; Hylidae. The record is from RefSeq and is a predicted model, not a curated record.
AGAUCGCUUCUUUCAUUUUGCAGAGGCCUUGUUAAAAAUGAAAGUAUUGAUCUGAUUGGUUGCUAUGGGCAACUCAGCAACUUUUCCUCUGCACAGAUUUUGAUAAAUCCCCCCCAUUGAUCAUAUGGGCACGUGCCACAGAUCACCCCGAUGGCACCAUUGAUGACCUGAAUAAGGCACAGGACCGCUUCGAUGGCGCCGAUUGCCAGGAGGAUGGAGAAUAAGACGACGUUCCACAGCACCACAUUCUCAGGUGCUUUACACGUGCUCCAGGUCUCGUGGUGAAAGAGCAGGUACGUUCCUGCGAUGAGACCUACCAAUUCGUCCUGCAUAUUCCCCGUGCUGCUGAAAGCGACGCAGGAGAUCAGCCGAGUGACCUGGCUGUCAAAUCAGAUUGCGCUGUUCUUGGCAGUAUUGACCCCAUCUGCAUUAUUAACCUUGUCCCUCCCAUCAUCGACCCAGUAACGUGAUCGUUGGGUCCCCAUGGAAGCCAUGGCAACAGGAAGCCAGCUGAUGGCCUCUUUUCUGGUGCGUGUACAGUUUAUGUAACCUCCAGCUACUGUAAGGAAAAGGGGACUUACUCUUCUGUAUCAUUCCGGAAGGGGUAGAUGUAUUCGCCAUCUCCUGUGUCACACAGAGGUCCACGAACCAAACCCAUGGCAGAGAUGACCACGCAGUACGCUCCUCCGAUGGUGCCCAGUGCAGACAGGAUGACAGUCA